Molecule: ribosomal RNA, 465 nt
Filed under: uncultured bacterium
Lineage: Bacteria
Description: bacterial SSU rRNA
Rfam family: Bacterial small subunit ribosomal RNA
Source: RNAcentral
CCUACGGGGGGCAGCAGUAGGGAAUCUUCCACAAUGGACGCAAGUCUGAUGGAGCAACGCCGCGUGAGUGAAGAAGGUUUUCGGAUCGUAAAGCUCUGUUGUUGGUGAAGAAGGAUAGAGGCAGUAACUGGUCUUUAUUUGACGGUAAUCAACCAGAAAGUCACGGCUAACUACGUGCCAGCAGCCGCGGUAAUACGUAGGUGGCAAGCGUUGUCCGGAUUUAUUGGGCGUAAAGCGAGCGCAGGCGGAAUGAUAAGUCUGAUGUGAAAGCCCACGGCUCAACCGUGGAACUGCAUCGGAAACUGUCAUUCUUGAGUGCAGAAGAGGAGAGUGGAAUUCCAUGUGUAGCGGUGGAAUGCGUAGAUAUAUGGAAGAACACCAGUGGCGAAGGCGGCUCUCUGGUCUGCAACUGACGCUGAGGCUCGAAAGCAUGGGUAGCGAACAGGAUUAGAUACCCUUGUAGUC